Molecule: long non-coding RNA, 1407 nt
Organism: Suricata suricatta (meerkat)
Lineage: Eukaryota; Metazoa; Chordata; Mammalia; Carnivora; Herpestidae
Exons: 2
Source: RefSeq, a predicted model, not a curated record
CUCAAGUAUCUGGUCCUUCCAGAGCAUAUUUGAUUUUAAUUUUGUUUUCAUCUUUCAGGGGAAAGGUCAUGUACUGAACAACUGUAUGUAAAGAGAUAUUCCGUCUAUAAUGUGUCAGCAGGGAGUUCAUUUAAAUUGGAGUGCCCUGUGAAAUACUGUACUAAGGAACCUUUUGUGACCUGGUGCAAGCUCGAAGGAAAAAACUGUUUACCUCUUGAAUAUAAACUUCCGGGAUACACAAGUUGGAAAGACCGGGAGAAUAGUUCAGUUUUUAUUCUUCAUUUUACCCACAUGCUGGCUAUGACACCGGUCCCUACCGCUGUUCUGCAAAUUUUACAUUUGGAGUUGUUGAAAGCCAUUCAGUAACCACUUAUGUGACAGGUUGAUAUUCCCCAGCCCUUUCGGAGUGAGGAAACUGACGGGGAAUCAGGCAAAAUCCCGAAACACUGUUAUCAGAAGCUGGUCCUUAUGAUACUGACCGCUGGCUCAGGGUCCCGGAAGAGUCUGAAGCUUAUUCUAACCCAUGCCUGGAGGAAAACAGACAGGGCAUUGUUUAUGCUUCCUUGAACCCUUCUGUCAUUGGAAUAAACCCAAGACAAGCAAGGAAUGUGAAUGAAGCACCUACAGAAUACGCAGCCAUAUGUGUGAGGAGUUAAAUUCGAUCUUGAUCUCCAAGCAGUGAUCACUGAAUGAUCUGCAUGUCCACACCAUUACUGAACCCAACAAAAGGUCAAAUAAUACUCCUUGACCUGUGAAGCUUCGCUUUAAGGAGGUUCAUAUUGGUGCUUGGGUCUUAAGGGUCUAUAGGACAAAUGACUAAAAUUUCUCCCCCCAAAUUCUGAGGGAACUUUUUAUAUGAUCCCCUUGAACAACAACACAAAAACCCUUCCCUCCAAAACUAAGUGAUAUUGAGUAGCAGACUGGUAGGACACUUCAACUUAGCUACAUUUUACCCAGUGUAUAAAGUUAAUAUAUUUUUUGGAGGAUAAAAGACACAUGUAAGUAAGAGAGAUUUGCAUAAUCUGGAUCAGUUCACUACACUCUCUUGACAAUGAAAGGGUGUCCCAAUUUGACUAACUGACCAUCAACCCAGUAGGAUGUUUAUUUCUGGUCAUUCUUCUGUGAUGAGAAAUAUUCCUCUGUCCAUCCAACACUGGGGUUUGUUUUUUUUUAAUGUAAAGUAGAAGUAAUUUUAGACUUGAUAUGACAUGCAAAUGGUUUUAGCUACCCUGUCACAUUGUUGAGCAAAUAUAGGUAAUAAUGGAGCAAUUAAUGUGCGGUGCAUUUAUAAACAAAGCUGUGACUCAGUGCCUGGGUCACAUGGACUAGUGUAUAUGAAUGUGAUAUAAUGCUGCUGAAUUCAUAUACUCGUGGGUGUUUAAUAAACAUAAAAAUAAUUAUCAUCGA